Paramisgurnus dabryanus is the source of this 1585-nucleotide non-coding RNA. The record is from RefSeq and is a predicted model, not a curated record. Lineage: Eukaryota; Metazoa; Chordata; Actinopteri; Cypriniformes; Cobitidae.
CCAACCGCCAAUACAAAUCAACGAAGAAGAGAUUGCACAUGCGCAGUUCCUCCUGAGACGUUGGAUUUGAACCAUCACGCGGCAAAAGAACGUUUGUCUGGAUUUGGUUUGAAGGUAAGAGCAUGCAAAAUGUUAAUUUGGAGAGGCCAUGUAUGUAAUACUUCAGUCUGUUUGUAGGUUAAAUGUAUUUCUACAAUUUAGUAAAGUCAGGACUAUGUUCUGUUAAUGUUCUGAGUUGAGUUUUGUUUGUGAGGUAAGGUUUAAGCUAAAGCUAGCUAACCACCUUGUCAUUGUCCCACCUUGUAAAUCUCAAAUUUCUUAAACUGUAAAUAUGAAUUCAUAUCGCCAAAUGCAAUGUGCUUGUUAACUGUUGCGUGCAUCGGCUAUAACUGGCGAUGGCACAGUAAAACUUUAACUUAUCUGCUAGCUCAGCUGUUAAGCAGGAGGUCUGGAUCAGAAUAUUCAUAUAUUCAUUCGAUUUUUAAUUUUGAGAUUCGAAUAUUUUUUUCUGUUUUUAACAUUAGCAUUAAUGCAGAGACUGCCAAGCAGGAAGUGCACUUCACGCUCCCGCUCAAGGUUUGUAACUUACUGUUAAUGUACUCCGAUAUUAAAGGUGGGAUAUAUUUUUCUAUUGAAAGGGCAUUUGGUAUUUUUGUGAUUUUAAAAUAAUAAAGGUUAUUUAUUUAACAUUUUGGCCCAAGCAGAAAAUUAAGGGCACCUCAACUCAGCCUGCAAUUAUUUAAAAUUUUCCCAAAAUAACUGCAUUACUGAAAAAUACUAGAUACUAAACCUAUGCAGUUGCUGCACAUGUCAUUAUGCACAAUUAAUGAAACUUUCUGAAUAGAAAGUUAUGAUAUGAACCAAAUAACCAUACAACCCCCUUGACUAAUUCUAAGCAUAAAAUACAUACAUAUACAAUUUGUUAUAUUCAGAUAGCCUGUUGUAAUGGAAUGAGUAGCAGGGCAAUAUACAUACAUGUAUCCUUUAUGCCUUACAAAGAAAGCGUUCAUUAGAGCUGAUUGGAUGCACAAGUUGCAGUAAUAUAUUCAUUUUCGAGGUUUGUGUAAUACUAGUUUUCUGGCCAGUGUGACCUAGUGAUUUGUUAUUAAAACGCAUCCAAAAUGACUUCAUUAAAUGCUCAUUUGUCUGUUUCUUUAGGUUCUGUCAGAGUUCUUUCGCUUAACCAGCAAAAACCUCAAAAUCGAGUUUUUCAAAGAACUGGACAAAUACACUCCUCGCUGUCUUGACAUUUUCAAGUCCAAGGGUGGAUGUACCGGCCAGAUACUUAAGAUGUAUUUGCAUCAUCAAAUCGCACUGGGGAAUACAGAUGUUACUGCUAAGUGAAAAGCAGUCCUCCGUGGCCUUCCCAUCCUCCUUGGAGAUGAGAACAAAGACUUCUUCAAGACAUACUUUGACUGUGAUGAACCGGAACUGGCCAACACCUCCAUUGAGAUCCUAACAGUAAUCCCUGAAGGUACCCCACCUCAAGGAACACACCAACAUUUUGGGUUUUUAGCUUAUUCACUGUAUUCCCCAGAGUUAGAUAAGUCCAUACAUACCAUUUUCAUCUCUGUGUGUCCUGUAA